AAGUCGUAACAAGGUUUCCGUAGGUGAACCUGCGGAAGGAUCAUUACAGAGUUAGGGUUCAUCUGAGCCUAACCUCCAACCAUUUGUUUAAUUACUUUGUUGCUUUGGCAGGCCCGUUCCUUUCGAGGAGCAGCCGGGGGUUUAGUCACCUCUGGCCAGUGCUUGCCAGUAGCCAAAUCAAAUUCUUUUUUAACCAUGUCGUCUGAUACCUAAUUAUAAAUAUAAUUAAAA
This 231-nucleotide unclassified non-coding RNA is filed under the name plant metagenome. RNAcentral's name for it is "partial contains small subunit ribosomal RNA and internal transcribed spacer 1". The stretch from base 1 to 46 matches the Rfam family "Eukaryotic small subunit ribosomal RNA", at positions 1786 to 1831 of the family's 1831-position model. The record is from RNAcentral.